Molecule: ribosomal RNA, 320 nt
Filed under: uncultured eukaryote
Lineage: Eukaryota
Description: partial 18S ribosomal RNA
Rfam family: Eukaryotic small subunit ribosomal RNA
Source: RNAcentral
CCCUUAGAUGUUCUGGGCUGCACGCGUGUUACAAUCGGGAGUACAACAAGAUUGCAAAUCCUAGUGGAUGAGUGGUUCCUCGAAAUUUUCUGAAGACUGGGAUAGUUGAUUGAAAUUAUUCAACUCAAACGAGGAAUUCCUUGUAAUUGUAAUUCAUUAUAUUGUAAUGAAUACGUCCCUGCCCUUUGUACACACCGCCCGUCGCUCCUACCGAUUGAACGAUCCGGUGAAUUAUUUGGAGUAGCUCUGGAAGUUGCAGAACUUCCUAUGUCACGAAAUUUUGUAAACCUUAUCGUUUAGAGGAAGGAAAAGUCGUAACA